Daphnia magna is the source of this 152-nucleotide long non-coding RNA. RefSeq lists it as uncharacterized. NCBI's taxonomy places the organism in Eukaryota, Metazoa, Arthropoda, Branchiopoda, Diplostraca, Daphniidae. The record is from RefSeq and is a predicted model, not a curated record. The transcript is spliced from 2 exons.
GUGGAAAUUAUUAAGAAGAAGUGGAACAAUUUCAGCCAAUCUGCUAAGGCUGCUAUUGCCAACCACAAGGCAGGGUUGACUGAAACAGGAGGAGGCCCAUCUACAGGACCGCUGAAGCCACUCUAUGAAAAAUUUUGGCAACACAUUCUAGG